GGAGCACAUUCUGGAGAGACUACAUUUUGUAGCGCCGAAGGGUUCACAAUCUCAGGCAAAUGGACAGAAUCGUUGUA
This 77-nucleotide non-coding RNA is filed under the name Pontibacillus marinus. RNAcentral's name for it is "Glycine sequence". It matches the Rfam family "Glycine riboswitch aptamer". From Rfam's summary of the family: This family represents the bacterial glycine riboswitch. Glycine riboswitches usually consist of two metabolite-binding aptamers domains with similar structures in tandem. The aptamers cooperatively bind glycine to regulate the expression of downstream genes. Lineage: Bacteria; Bacillati; Bacillota; Bacilli; Caryophanales; Bacillaceae. The record is from RNAcentral. RNAcentral also lists the same sequence under 1 other name.